This is a long non-coding RNA of Hermetia illucens (black soldier fly), 869 nucleotides long. RefSeq lists it as uncharacterized. The transcript has 2 exons. The record is from RefSeq and is a predicted model, not a curated record. Lineage: Eukaryota; Metazoa; Arthropoda; Insecta; Diptera; Stratiomyidae.
UUGGUUCCCUUUCGAUUGUUUUGUAGGAGUACUCAUGUGAUUCCUAUCAGUAUGAGGGGUGGAUUCGUCGUGACAUAUGCAAUCGCAGCAAUUUGUAAAUUUGAACAUCCAACAAUGAAUCGGAUGUUUUGCACCGUACUCUCGCUAUUUUUAUUCUAGGAUAGCUUUACCAUGGGCUUACCAUCUUCAUAGCUCGUGUGCUACAAAAGAGUGCAAAAGAUCGUUACCAAAAUUAGUUUCCAACAUUUUCCCAAAGGAAAUUCGCAGCAGUAAAUUUUCUAACAAAAAGACAAAACAAAAGAAAGAUUUCUCUAAAUAAUACCAAUAAACUGAAUCGCCCUGUAAGCCGUGGGUGUAGUAUGUACAUACUGACAUAUGAGGAAAUUAUGAAUUCGUAUUUGCUGUUAAUCCCAUUGAGUCUGCAUAAUUAAGCUUUUAAUUCUUUGCAUUUAUUAAAAGAUAUGUUAUCAACUUCAACUAUGAUUUCAAGGAAAACAGGGCAUCAAACUAUGUAGCAUGCAAAUAUCAUCUUUGCUAAGUAUAAAAUCCACGGGAUCCUCACUAGCAAGUAACAGAUCUAAUCCACAUAUCAGUCAGUUUACCUCCAAUUUACAACUAUGAAGUUCAUCGUUGCAGUUUGCUCCUUGUUGUCAUCGUAGCAGCUCAUGCUCAACUUUUUGAGUAUUUGCCAGGAAUUAGGGCCUUCACUAGAUACGAUAACGAUGGAAAGCUCAUCGUGGACUCAUUGUACCCAAAAGUUCUUAAGUCGACGAUUUCGAUCUGAUCAAGGAUAGAAUUAUCUUGUAAAGGAUUUGAUAAAAUGAUAAUGGCGCAAUUUUACAAUUUUAAUAAAGAAUAGCAUCAAACAA